GGAUGAGGUACUCAUUGACAAGAUGAACGAAGCAGCCAGUGUUGAGUCAGAGAGACAGUCCAAGCAGAGAAAGAACAUCACUGGCAAAGGGCCAAAAGUGAAUGAGCUACGAACAGACAUGAGAGAUAGUCAGUGUCAGGAUGUAGCUGAGGCUAGAGUCGGAAAUCGAGAGCAAUCAGCUGAAGUUAUGAAGCCUAAAAGCCGUAAAGCACCUGUUUUAGCUAAAGAGGGAGAAUCGGAGCUUUAUGAGACAGUCAAGUUGCUUAGAGAAGAAAUGGCUGAAAUCAGGAAAAGCUUAGCUAACCCCAAGGGACCUGCCCACCAAACUAAAACAAGUGCUAAGAGAGGAUGUGGGGUGUGUAAAGAGCAAGGAUUAGGUGACUCGUGUGGACACUGUUUCAAGUGUGGACAGUCAGGGCAUUUUUCUAGAGGCUGUAGAAGACAAAGAUUGGUAGAGAGAUCUGACAGCAUGAGGGUGACAAUGCAGACUGCCGGGCCCCAGACACCAUCAACAUUGAGCCAACCAGGAACGGAUGACCGGGUGCACGGACUUCUAUGUGACCGCAUCAGGCAGCUGGAGGCGGAGCUUGAGAGGGGUCGGGAGGCCCGACAGACAGUGAGUGCCACUUAUGCCAGCCAUCUCUCCUUACAUCGUCAAGCUAAGCUUAAGGCUCUCAUUGGAAAAAAAUGCAUCGUGAAUUGUUUCUUUGAUGGAGUAGCAACAACCGCCCUGUGGGACACGGGUUCACAAGUAACCAUCAUCAAUGAGAGUUGGAGGAGAUCCUGCCUUUCACACACCACACUUCGCAGCAUGGAUGAGCUUCUUGAAGAGAAUGAGACUCUUGUUGGUAGAGCUGCAAACCAGACACCCAUACCUUUUGCAGGCUGGGUUGAACUGACAUUUGAGCUAGGGUCAAACAGAGGUCCACGGCCAGAGCUACAUGUGCCAGUCCUAGUCUCCAACGAGCCAGGGGUAGCAGAGCCACCAAUUAUUGGCUAUAAUGUCAUUGAGCUCAUCGUGAAGAAUGGGAUGGAGCAGCACCCAGAAGUUACACCUGCUGUUGUGAGUGAUGCUUUCUCCAUCGACUGUAAG
Molecule: long non-coding RNA, 1093 nt
Filed under: Takifugu rubripes (torafugu)
Lineage: Eukaryota; Metazoa; Chordata; Actinopteri; Tetraodontiformes; Tetraodontidae
Description: lncRNA (ENSTRUG00000028578.1)
Source: RNAcentral